Long non-coding RNA from Zingiber officinale, 740 nucleotides. RefSeq lists it as uncharacterized. Lineage: Eukaryota; Viridiplantae; Streptophyta; Magnoliopsida; Zingiberales; Zingiberaceae. The record is from RefSeq and is a predicted model, not a curated record. The transcript is spliced from 2 exons.
CAUCUAAUCGCUGUCGAGAUUUUAGGCUGGCAAUUGCUCCACUGAUGUAACCUUUAUGCCUUCCCAUGUUUCGUAGUUAAUUAAAUCAUUAACGUUUUUGCUGGCACCUUUAACGUUUUUGCUCGAAGAUGAGGAUCGUGCGCCAUCCGGUCCGGUUCAUUUUAAUUUCCCGGGCCAACGUAUUCAAGCGAACGCCGGUUUAAAGAGAACCUCCGGUUUCUGCUUCUUCGUCUUCUUUCCCCACCGCCGAUGAGGAUCCCGAAGCAGAGAGGGCGGCGGCCGUCCAUCCUUCCGCCGCCAUCGAUUCUUUGCAGGCCUAGCGAUUGACCUACAUCGACUGCUUGGUCGCUCUCUUGUUCUGCUACGUGUUGUUGACGUCUUCGAGAUAUCGAAAUUAUCAUUGCCAUUUGCGAUGGAAUCGUUGUAAAAAGUUUCUCUUGAGUCCUAUCUGACGAAGUUGAUUGUGUUGCUACUUGUUCGUUGGAGCGCUUGACAACGCACAAAGAUGAUAGCGCCUUUAAAGUGUUUGUGUUAAUUUCAGAGCGAACUUAGCUGAACGAUACUAUGCUUCUUCAUUUAUGUGCAUUCUUAAGGUUGGGCUGCGCUAUCUAUUGCUAAUUGACGUUUGCACAAUUUGCAAUUUCGAGCUUUCUCGGUCAUUCUUUUAUGAAAUGUACAGAAGCACGCUUGUUGUAGUGUCUAUAUUAAUUUGAAGUGAAAGAGGAAGCUCAGUUGUCUAA